CUCAGGACGAACGCUGGCGGCGUGCCUAAUACAUGCAAGUCGAGCGGACAGAUGGGAGCUUGCUCCCUGAUGUUAGCGGCGGACGGGUGAGUAACACGUGGGUAACCUGCCUGUAAGACUGGGAUAACUCCGGGAAACCGGGGCUAAUACCGGAUGCUUGUUUGAACCGCAUGGUUCAAACAUAAAAGGUGGCUUCGGCUACCACUUACAGAUGGACCCGCGGCGCAUUAGCUAGUUGGUGAGGUAAUGGCUCACCAAGGCGACGAUGCGUAGCCGACCUGAGAGGGUGAUCGGCCACACUGGGACUGAGACACGGCCCAGACUCCUACGGGAGGCAGCAGUAGGGAAUCUUCCGCAAUGGACGAAAGUCUGACGGAGCAACGCCGCGUGAGUGAUGAAGGUUUUCGGAUCGUAAAGCUCUGUUGUUAGGGAAGAACAAGUACCGUUCGAAUAGGGCGGUACCUUGACGGUACCUAACCAGAAAGCCACGGCUAACUACGUGCCAGCAGCCGCGGUAAUACGUAGGUGGCAAGCGUUGUCCGGAAUUAUUGGGCGUAAAGGGCUCGCAGGCGGUUUCUUAAGUCUGAUGUGAAAGCCCCCGGCUCAACCGGGGAGGGUCAUUGGAAACUGGGGAACUUGAGUGCAGAAGAGGAGAGUGGAAUUCCACGUGUAGCGGUGAAAUGCGUAGAGAUGUGGAGGAACACCAGUGGCGAAGGCGACUCUCUGGUCUGUAACUGACGCUGAGGAGCGAAAGCGUGGGGAGCGAACAGGAUUAGAUACCCUGGUAGUCCACGCCGUAAACGAUGAGUGCUAAGUGUUAGGGGGUUUCCGCCCCUUAGUGCUGCAGCUAACGCAUUAAGCACUCCGCCUGGGGAGUACGGUCGCAAGACUGAAACUCAAAGGAAUUGACGGGGGCCCGCACAAGCGGUGGAGCAUGUGGUUUAAUUCGAAGCAACGCGAAGAACCUUACCAGGUCUUGACAUCCUCUGACAAUCCUAGAGAUAGGACGUCCCCUUCGGGGGCAGAGUGACAGGUGGUGCAUGGUUGUCGUCAGCUCGUGUCGUGAGAUGUUGGGUUAAGUCCCGCAACGAGCGCAACCCUUGAUCUUAGUUGCCAGCAUUCAGUUGGGCACUCUAAGGUGACUGCCGGUGACAAACCGGAGGAAGGUGGGGAUGACGUCAAAUCAUCAUGCCCCUUAUGACCUGGGCUACACACGUGCUACAAUGGACAGAACAAAGGGCAGCGAAACCGCGAGGUUAAGCCAAUCCCACAAAUCUGUUCUCAGUUCGGAUCGCAGUCUGCAACUCGACUGCGUGAAGCUGGAAUCGCUAGUAAUCGCGGAUCAGCAUGCCGCGGGUGAAUACGUUCCCGGGCCUUGUACACACCGCCCGUCACACCACGAGAGUUUGUAACACCCGAAGUCGGUGAGGUAACCUUUUAGGAGCCAGCCGCCGANGUGGGACAGAUGAUUGGGGUGA
RNAcentral lists this ribosomal RNA (1478 nucleotides) under Bacillus subtilis. RNAcentral describes it as "bacterial SSU rRNA". It matches the Rfam family "Bacterial small subunit ribosomal RNA". The record is from RNAcentral. Lineage: Bacteria; Bacillati; Bacillota; Bacilli; Caryophanales; Bacillaceae.